UGUCAAGAAGACUGCAGUAGCAGCUGCUGGCACUACUGGUGGACAAUGCCCCGUCUGGCAGUGUUGGGUCAGCUCCUCCAGCUUUCCCAGCAGCAGUUCCUGCAGCUGGUGCUCCUGCUCCAUUUCGCGUUGUGCGAGCUGGUGUAGAUCACACUCGACCCGUACCGGCCGCUGAUGCUGCUGUUCCAGCAGCGGUUCUUGUAGCAGGCCCACCGGAGGCACCUUCCGAGUGUGUGCCAGUGAUUGCAGAGGUCGAUGAUGAGGUUCACCUUGGUCACGGUGUCUUGGUGCAAAAGUACAAACUGUCCUACGUCAGGGGAGCCCGGGGAGACUCCAUCUUCGUUAAAGAGGCUACGAAGCUGAUCUUCGGCAGGGAGGACCUGCAUGGGCCGAGUGUGAGGUGUGCCAUGACGGCGCUUUAAGGGCGCCAUGGCCAAGAGGGCCCUGACUCCAGUCAGUCAAGUUGGCAGCAGUCAGCAAUGCCUUCAACGAGUACAUAUGAAGGCAUCCUCGAGAGGCCUCUCCAGGGAAGAGGACAGCUCGGGUCAACCUACUGCAGUAUGCCAAUGUGUUAAUAUCCUACUGCAGGAUAUUAACAAGAAGCUUGACUUCUAAGUUUGCUUAGAGGUUAAG
Molecule: long non-coding RNA, 633 nt
Organism: Ixodes scapularis (black-legged tick)
Lineage: Eukaryota; Metazoa; Arthropoda; Arachnida; Ixodida; Ixodidae
Exons: 4
Source: RefSeq, a predicted model, not a curated record